UCCCAUUAUAUGCUGGCCUUCAACUGACAAGUCUUUUGCCAUUACAAAGAGAAAAACUCAAUAUAGUUUUUCAUGAUGUGAGCCAUCAUGCUGCAUGGAAUGACCAAAAAUCCUAUCCAUCCAACUGAGAAACUACCAUCUUCUACAGAAGGCCAACUUUAAUUCCCCCAGCUACAAGGUCCUUCCUUCUAAAAUCACCUUGCAUAUAGUUUCAAUAAGCCUUCAUACAAAGACAUGUUGUCUCCCCCUCCAUUCUCCCAUUGGACAGCAAGUUCCUUCAAGAAAAUGUGGCAAGAGUUUGGUAAGAUGAUUCCCUAAGGGAAAGUCUCUGGAAUCAUGGAUUCUUUGCUCUCUUCUUUACACAUAUCCUGAAGACUACCUUGGUCCCAAGGCACUGAAAAUACCUCUGGCUAAAACCUUUUCAUCUUCAUUCUAUCUUGGAAAUAUCACCUGCCAACCUAGUUUUGAAAGUGGAUACCAUAUCACUCCAUUUGUUACCUUUCUUCUCCUUAUUCUCAGCAUUAAGUCACAAAGUUUUUUGUUUGUUUGUUUGUUUUUUUAACAUCCCAAAUAAAAGGAUAUUGGACUAGCCUAAUUCAUCUAUAAAUACUCCUAAAUUUCAAAAAGAUUGGAAAAAAUAUUCUGUACCAUCAUCAAAGAAUUUGAGAGUUGGAAGAAACUUAAAAAGUCACUAGUUCAAAUCAUAAAGGAAAGGAAUGGAAUCUCUACUAUAUACCUGACAAGUAGGCUGUAUUUAAACACAGUCUUUUUUUCAUUUAAGGCAGCCCAUCCCAAUUUUGAAUAGCUCUAGUUUUUUCUGACCUGAAUUUGUUAGGGGGAAAAGGGGAGGCCUUUUUAUUUGUUGUUUGUUUUUUUUUUCUUUUGGUCAACUUACACUUAUACCUCAUAGCUUUGCCUAUGGGGCCAAACAGAUCAAGUCCCUCCUCCAAAUGACAACUAUUCAAAUACCUGAAGACAGCUAUCACAUCCUAUACUUCCCUCCCCCAAAAAACUGUCUUCUCUUUUAUAGGCUUAACUGUAUCCAGCUCCUUCAUGAGCUUUAUGCUGUUGUUUGUCCUUCAUUCUCAAAGAGGCCCAUGACCCCAAGGAGAUGCAUGCCAGGUUAUGCAGGUGAGUUGGGAUUAAUUGAGGAAGGGAUGGGCAAGGUCACCUGCUAUUAUGGGCCAGAACUUAAAACAAGGUGCUAAGUCAGUGGAAUUGAUAGAGACAAUGGUUAUUUAGCCUGAUGCUUAACAGUUCUUUAGUUCAGUACAUGUACUUAGUACUUACUAUAGUUCUACACGAUUCACACCUUUGAUAAGAAACCAUAUAAAUUCGGACAAACUCAGCCAGAAUGAGAAUGAGGGAAGACAGAGACCGUGGUGGUGGUCCUCCUGCCUCCCCGACAGAAACCAAGGAGGAGGUCAAGAAGCUGGCAGGGGCAGAGAACACAAAGGACUGGUGGCAGGAACUCAAGCUUGGGGAACCAAGGAGAGAGAUAGGUCUCUAAGAAAGCUAAGGU
Long non-coding RNA from Antechinus flavipes (yellow-footed antechinus), 1522 nucleotides. RefSeq lists it as uncharacterized. The record is from RefSeq and is a predicted model, not a curated record. NCBI's taxonomy places the organism in Eukaryota, Metazoa, Chordata, Mammalia, Dasyuromorphia, Dasyuridae. The transcript is spliced from 2 exons.